GCGACCCCAGGUCAGGCGGGACUACCCGCUG
This 31-nucleotide ribosomal RNA is filed under the name Avena hirtula. Its description in RNAcentral is "partial 26S ribosomal RNA". The record is from RNAcentral. Lineage: Eukaryota; Viridiplantae; Streptophyta; Magnoliopsida; Poales; Poaceae. RNAcentral also lists the same sequence under 5 other names.